This 253-nucleotide ribosomal RNA is filed under the name uncultured bacterium. RNAcentral's name for it is "partial 16S ribosomal RNA". It matches the Rfam family "Bacterial small subunit ribosomal RNA", at positions 524 to 776 of the family's 1533-position model. The record is from RNAcentral.
UACAGAGGGGGCUAGCGUUGUUCGGAAUUACUGAGCGUAAAGGGCGCGUAGGUGGCCUGUUAAGUCGAACGUGAAAUCCCCGGGCUCAACCCGGGAACUGCGUCCGAGACUGGCAGGCUCGAAUCCGGGAGAGGGAUGUGGAAUUCCAGGUGUAGCGGUGAAAUGCGUAGAUAUCUGGAGGAACACCGGUGGCGAAGGCGGCAUCCUGGACCAAUAUUGACGCUGAGGAGCGAAAGCCAGGGGAGCAAACGGG